AACCCGUAGAACUGAAAUCGUG
This 22-nucleotide microRNA is filed under the name Brugia malayi. RNAcentral's name for it is "bma-miR-100c". Its record names the gene bma-miR-100c. The record is from miRBase by way of RNAcentral. Lineage: Eukaryota; Metazoa; Nematoda; Chromadorea; Rhabditida; Onchocercidae.